Molecule: unclassified non-coding RNA, 21 nt
Filed under: Chlamydomonas reinhardtii
Lineage: Eukaryota; Viridiplantae; Chlorophyta; Chlorophyceae; Chlamydomonadales; Chlamydomonadaceae
Description: small RNA Cre_2458
Source: RNAcentral
UCAAUCAGCGCCUUAUCCUGG